RNAcentral lists this ribosomal RNA (437 nucleotides) under uncultured bacterium. RNAcentral describes it as "bacterial SSU rRNA". It matches the Rfam family "Bacterial small subunit ribosomal RNA", at positions 29 to 514 of the family's 1533-position model. The record is from RNAcentral.
AGCGAACGCUGGCGGCAGGCCUAACACAUGCAAGUCGAACGAACUCUUCGGAGUUAGUGGCGGACGGGUGAGUAACACGUGGGAACGUGCCUUUAGGUUCGGAAUAACUCAGGGAAACUUGUGCUAAUACCGAAUGUGCCCUUCGGGGAAGAUUAUCGCCUUUAGAGCGGCCCGCGUCUGAUUAGCUAGUUGGUGAGGUAAAGGCUCACCAAGGCUACGAUCAGUAGCUGGUCUGAGAGGAUGACCAGCCACAUUGGGACUGAGACACGGCCCAAACUCCUACGGGAGGCAGCAGUGGGGAAUCUUGCGCAAUGGGCGAAAGCCUGACGCAGCCAUGCCGCGUGGAUGAUGAAGGUCUUAGGAUUGUAAAAUCCUUUCACCGGUGAAGAUAAUGACUGUAGCCGGAGAAGAAGCCCCGGCUAACUUCGUGCCAGCAG